GUCCAAGCAUGAGUGCAUGACUAUCGCUGCUCUUCGUAAAAAUAUUCUGUGAUAAAAGUUGUUUCUGAACCACGAUGCUGUUAAAAAGAAGAUGUGGCGAUGCCUGAGCCAACACCAUCAACAUCAACCAACCACUACGACAAGUUUUGCAGGGGUAUAGAAAAGUCUAUACCCCUGUUCCUGGUGUCAACCAGACAUCAGCAGGGAUCUCAGAUUCCUUAAUAAGUUGAAUUCCGUCUGAUGCAUCCUCCGAUCUCCCACUACGUCUAUUUUAGUGAGAAUUCAUCACGAGGACGUCCUUUCUCCCCACCUGACGUCUCUAAUUUAUCUUUCCUGCAAACGGAAACUGAAGGUGCUCGGCGGUUUCCCUGACUUGA
This is a long non-coding RNA of Daphnia pulicaria, 377 nucleotides long. RefSeq lists it as uncharacterized. Lineage: Eukaryota; Metazoa; Arthropoda; Branchiopoda; Diplostraca; Daphniidae. The transcript has 3 exons. The record is from RefSeq and is a predicted model, not a curated record.